UACCAUUCAGUUGAAAAUUGCAAAAAUUACACUUUCACACCCCUCGCACCGGAACUCUUGCAAAAAGACUUCCGGUAUGUAUUUUUCCAAACCGGAAGACUUUAGGAAAGACUUCCGGAACACAAAAAAAGCAAACCGGAACACUUAAGGAAAGAGUUCCGGUUCAGAUAAAAAAAAAUUCAAAAAAAUUUGCAUACCGGAACUCUUUGGAGAAGUGUUCCGGUAUGCAUUAUGUGUGUUCCGGAAGUCUUUCCUAAAGUCUUCCGGUACGUUUUUUUUUUAAUUUUUUUUUUUUUUUACAGAAAUGAGGGUAUUUUGGUCAAAAAAAAUUUAAUGUAGGGGUAUGGGUACAAUUGUAGGGGUAUAGGGUAAAAUUUUC
Molecule: long non-coding RNA, 379 nt
Filed under: Lathyrus oleraceus (garden pea)
Lineage: Eukaryota; Viridiplantae; Streptophyta; Magnoliopsida; Fabales; Fabaceae
Description: Pisum sativum (pea) long non-coding RNA (PSAT_LNC031589)
Source: RNAcentral